GAUGAACGCUGGCGGCGUGCCUAAUACAUGCAAGUCGAGCGAACAGAUCAGGAGCUUGCUCCUUUGACGUUAGCGGAGCACGGGUGUGUCACACGUGGGUAACCUCCCUAUCAGUCUGGAAUCACUCCGGGACACCGGGGCUUAUGCCGGAUAACAUUUAGAACCGCAUGGUUCUAAAGUGAAAGAUGGUUUUGCUAUCACUUCUAGAUGGAUCUGCGCCGUAUUAGCUAGUUGGUAAGGUAACGGCUUACCAAGGCAACGAUACGUAUCCGACCUGAGAGGGGGAUCGGCCGCAUGGGAGCUGGGACGGCGUCCAGGGGCCUACGAGAGGCAGCAGUAGGGAAUCUGCCGCAGUGGGCGAGAGCCUGACGGAGCAACGCCGCGCGAGUGAUGAAGGUGUUGGGUGCGUAAAACUCGGUUAUGAGGGAAGAACAAAUUUGGAAGGUACUGAGCACGGCGUGACGGUACCGAAUCAGAAAGCCACGGCUAACUACGUG
RNAcentral lists this ribosomal RNA (497 nucleotides) under uncultured bacterium. RNAcentral's name for it is "partial 16S ribosomal RNA". It matches the Rfam family "Bacterial small subunit ribosomal RNA", at positions 28 to 507 of the family's 1533-position model. The record is from RNAcentral.